UGGGGGAGUAUUGCCAAUGUGGGCAAACCGGAUGCACCAUGCCCGCGUUGUAAAGAAGGCCUUCGGUUUUUAANGCAUAUCUUCGGGGAGGAAGGGGAUAAGGGUAAUAACCUUUUCGAUUGACGUACUCGCAGAAAAAACACCGGGUUACUCCGUGCCAGCAGCCGCGGUAAUAUGGAAGGGGCAAGCGUUAAUCGGAAUUACUGGGCGUAAAGCGCACACAGGCGGUCUGUCAAGUCGGAUGUGAAAUCCCCGGGCUCAACCUGGGAACUGCAUUUGAAAAUGGCAGGCUAGAGUUUUNUUAGGGGGGUAGAAUUCCAGGUGUAGCGGUGAAAAGCGUAGAGAUCUGGAGGAAUNCCGGUGGCGAAGGCGGCCCCCUGGACAAAGACUACGCUCAGGUGCGAAAGCGUGGGGAGCAAACAGGAUUAGAUACCCUGGUAGUCCACGCUGUAAACGAUGUCGAUUUGGGGGUUGAGCUUUAAGCUUGGCGCCCGUAGCUAACGUGAUAAAUCGACCGCCUGGGGAGUACGGCCGCAAGGUUA
This 542-nucleotide ribosomal RNA is filed under the name uncultured bacterium. RNAcentral describes it as "bacterial SSU rRNA". It matches the Rfam family "Bacterial small subunit ribosomal RNA", at positions 354 to 896 of the family's 1533-position model. The record is from RNAcentral.